This 468-nucleotide ribosomal RNA is filed under the name uncultured bacterium. RNAcentral's name for it is "partial 16S ribosomal RNA". It matches the Rfam family "Bacterial small subunit ribosomal RNA", at positions 28 to 507 of the family's 1533-position model. The record is from RNAcentral.
GACGAACGCUGGCGGCGUGCUUAACACAUGCAAGUCGAACGGAAAGGCCCUGCUUUUGUGGGGUGCUCGAGUGGCGAACGGGUGAGUAACACGUGAGUAACCUGCCCUUGACUUUGGGAUAACUUCAGGAAACUGGGGCUAAUACCGGAUAGGAGCUCCUGCUGCAUGGUGGGGGUUGGAAAGUUUCGGCGGUUGGGGAUGGACUCGCGGCUUAUCAGCUUGUUGGUGGGGUAGUGGCUUACCAAGGCUUUGACGGGUAGCCGGCCUGAGAGGGUGACCGGCCACAUUGGGACUGAGAUACGGCCAAGACUCCUACGGGAGGCAGCAGGGGGGAAUAUUGCACAAUGGGCGGAAGCCUGAGGCAGCAACGCCGCGUGCGGGAUGACGGCCUUCGGGUUGUAAACCGCUUUCGCCUGUGACGAAGCGUGAGUGACGGUAAUGGGUAAAGAAGCACCGGCUAACUACGUG